Molecule: ribosomal RNA, 253 nt
Filed under: uncultured bacterium
Lineage: Bacteria
Description: partial 16S ribosomal RNA
Rfam family: Bacterial small subunit ribosomal RNA
Source: RNAcentral
UACGUCGGGUGCGAGCGUUAAUCGGAAUUACUGGGCGUAAAGCGUGCGUCGGCGGUUCUGCCAGUCAGAUGUGACAUCCCCGGGCUUAACCUGGGAACUGCGUUUGAACCUACGGAGCUAGAGUGUGGCAGAGGGGGGUGGAAUUCCACGUGUAGCAGUGAAAUGCGUAGAUAUGUGGAGGAACACCGAUGGCGAAGGCAACCCCCUGGGCCGACACUGACGCUGAGGCACGAAAGCGUGGGGAGCAAACAGG